This 484-nucleotide ribosomal RNA is filed under the name uncultured bacterium. Its description in RNAcentral is "partial 16S ribosomal RNA". It matches the Rfam family "Bacterial small subunit ribosomal RNA", at positions 30 to 507 of the family's 1533-position model. The record is from RNAcentral.
AUUGAACGCUGGCGGCAGGCCUAACACAUGCAAGUCGAGCGGAUGAAGGGAGCUUGCUCCUGGAUUCAGCGGCGGACGGGUGAGUAAUGCCUAGGAAUCUGCCUGGUAGUGGGGGAUAACGUCCGGAAACGGGCGCUAAUACCGCAUACGUCCUGAGGGAGAAAGUGGGGGAUCUUCGGACCUCACGCUAUCAGAUGAGCCUAGGUCGAAUUAGCUAGUUGGUGGGGUAAAGGCCUACCAAGGCGACGAUCCGUAACUGGUCUGAGAGGAUGAUCAGUCACACUGGAACUGAGACACGGUCCAGACUCCUACGGGAGGCAGCAGUGGGGAAUAUUGGACAAUGGGCGAAAGCCUGAUCCAGCCAUGCCGCGUGUGUGAAGAAGGUCUUCGGAUUGUAAAGCACUUUAAGUUGGGAGGAAGGGCAGUAAGUUAAUACCUUGUUGUUUUGACGUUACCAACAGAAUAAGCACCGGCUAACUUCGUG